This 460-nucleotide ribosomal RNA is filed under the name uncultured bacterium. RNAcentral's name for it is "partial 16S ribosomal RNA". It matches the Rfam family "Bacterial small subunit ribosomal RNA", at positions 338 to 795 of the family's 1533-position model. The record is from RNAcentral.
CCUACGGGAGGCAGCAGUGAGGAAUAUUGGUCAAUGGACGAGAGUCUGAACCAGCCAAGUAGCGUGAAGGAUGACUGCCCUAUGGGUUGUAAACUUCUUUUAUAUGGGAAUAAAACGUUCCACGUGUGGGAUUUUGUAUGUACCAUAUGAAUAAGGCUCGGCUAACUCCGUGCCAGCAGCCGCGGUAAUACGGAGGAUCCGAGCGUUAUCCGGAUUUAUUGGGUUUAAAGGGAGCGUAGGUGGAUUGUUAAGUCAGUUGUGAAAGUUUGCGGCUCAACCGUAAAAUUGCAGUUGAAACUGGCAGUCUUGAGGACAGUAGAGGUGGGCGGAAUUCGUGGUGUAGCGGUGAAAUGCUUAGAUAUCACGAAGAACUCCGAUUGCGAAGGCAGUUCACUGGACUGCAACUGACACUGAGGCUCGAAAGUGUGGGUAUCAAACAGGAUUAGAUACCCUGGUAGUC